GGGGAUAACACUUAGAAAUAGGUGCUAAUACCGCAUAAGCGCACAGCUUCGCAUGAAGCAGUGUGAAAAACUCCGGUGGUAUACGAUGGAUCCGCGUCUGAUUAGCUGGUUGGCGGGGUAACAGCCCACCAAGGCGACGAUCAGUAGCCGGCCUGAGAGGGUGAACGGCCACAUUGGGACUGAGACACGGCCCAAACUCCUACGGGAGGCAGCAGUGGGGAAUAUUGCACAAUGGGGGAAACCCUGAUGCAGCGACGCCGCGUGAGUGAAGAAGUAUUUCGGUAUGUAAAGCUCUAUCAGCAGGGAAGAAAAUGACGGUACCUGACUAAGAAGCCCCGGCUAACUACGUGCCAGCAGCCGCGGUAAUACGUAGGGGGCAAGCGUUAUCCGGAUUUACUGGGUGUAAAGGGAGCGUAGACGGCAGCGCAAGUCUGAAGUGAAAUCCCAUGGCUUAACCAUGGAACUGCUUUGGAAACUGUGCAGCUGGAGUGCAGGAGAGGUAAGCGGAAUUCCUAGUGUAGCGGUGAAAUGCGUAGAUAUUAGGAGGAACACCAGUGGCGAAGGCGGCUUACUGGACUGUAACUGACGUUGAGGCUCGAAAGCGUGGGGAGCAAACAGGAUUAGAUACCCUGGUAGUCCACGCCGUAAACGAUGAU
RNAcentral lists this ribosomal RNA (656 nucleotides) under uncultured bacterium. Its description in RNAcentral is "bacterial SSU rRNA". It matches the Rfam family "Bacterial small subunit ribosomal RNA", at positions 139 to 813 of the family's 1533-position model. The record is from RNAcentral.